RNAcentral lists this ribosomal RNA (301 nucleotides) under uncultured bacterium. Its description in RNAcentral is "bacterial SSU rRNA". It matches the Rfam family "Bacterial small subunit ribosomal RNA", at positions 28 to 337 of the family's 1533-position model. The record is from RNAcentral.
GAUUAACGCUGGCGGCGUGCCUAACACAUGCAAGUCGAACGAGGUAGCAAUACCUAGUGGCAGACGGGUGAGUAACGCGUGGUCAACCUACCGUUGAGUGGGGGAUAACUAGCCGAAAGGUUAGCUAAUACCGCAUACGUCUCCGAGUGGCAUCACUUGGCGAUAAAAGGAGCAAUCCGCUCGAUGACGGGACCGCGUCCCAUUAGCUAGAUGGGUGGGGUAACCGGCCUACCAUGGCACCGAUGGGUAGCUGGUUUGAGAGAGCGACCAGCCACACUGGGACUGAGAAACGGCCCAGACU